Molecule: ribosomal RNA, 544 nt
Filed under: uncultured bacterium
Lineage: Bacteria
Description: bacterial SSU rRNA
Rfam family: Bacterial small subunit ribosomal RNA
Source: RNAcentral
ACGCAAUAGAUACCCUGGUAGUCCACGCCCUAAACGAUGUCUACUAGUUGUCGGGUCUUAAUUGACUUGGUAAACGCAGCUAAACGCGUGAAGUAGACCGCCUGGGGAGUACGGUCGCAAGAUUAAAACUCAAAGGAAUUGACGGGGACCCGCACAAGCGGUGGAUGAUGUGGAUUAAAUUCGAUGCAACGCGAAAAACCUUACCUACCCUUGACAUGGAAGGAAUCCCUGAGAGAUCGGGGAGUGCUCGAAAGAGAACCUUUACACAGGUGCUGCAUGGCUGUCGUCAGCUCGUGUCGUGAGAUGUUGGGUUAAGUCCCGCAACGAGCGCAACCCUUGUCAUUAGUUGCUACGAAAGGGCACUCUAAUGAGACUGCCGGUGACAAACCGGAGGAAGGUGGGGAUGACGUCAAGUCCUCAUGGCCCUUAUGGGUAGGGCUUCACACGUCAUACAAUGGUACAUACAGAGGGCCGCCAACCCGCGAGGGGGAGCUAAUCCCAGAAAGUGUAUCGUAGUCCGGAUUGUAGUCUGCAACUCGACUGC